UUGUGCGUGCGGUACCGGUGUGCUACUAAAGAAGAAAAUAAGGUAGCGUUCUGUCUGUCAAUAAUAGGUAGUAGUUUUACCUGAGCCCAAGCAAAUGGUUGAAGUGUAUCCAACUCCAACCAAAUUAUCCUGUUAUUCGAUUUUAAUUCUUUCCAUGUUUACGACCUGUUAAACUUCAACCUGAUCUGUCACCUGUUCUUACUUGAUUCAAAAUUUCAAAAUUAAAAUUUUCAGACUUUUUCAAUUGCAAAGUUUUGGAGAAUUGUCAGCUGAUCAGCAGCUGAAAGUAGGAAACAAAAGAGUAAGAGUGUCAUCAUGGCGGUGAUGAAAGAAAGGCGCGAGAUGGUGUGUCAGGUGUAAUUAAUUUGUUUGAUUAUAAAAUAGCUGUAACUAGUUCAGUGUAAUGUUAGAGCGUUAUAGCUAUUUCCAAGCUUUUUAAGUGAGUAUGAAAACGGCAAAAAUGUUUAAAGAGUAGGGCCUCCUAUUGAAUCGAGAGCAGCAUGGUGAAAGAGUAGAGAUUAAAGCCAGAUUGCAUAAGAUAUCGGCGAAGGAUUUAAUUUUAAAUACUGUGAAUAGUGUAGAUGUAUGAAAAUAUUUUCUGAAAUUAAAAUGUGCCCAUGUUAUCUCAAGUGAGAUAUAAUUGGGCUGGGAGUGCUGCCUCAAUGUUCAUUGGAAGAUCGGAAAUUGUGUUGGUCUUACCAAAUGUCUGCAUUAAAAACGCUUGCUUUGAAAAGCUUCCUGAUAUAGCAUGGAUAGAAGUGCAGUCGUAUGAACUACACAAAUGAACUACACAUGGGAAAAUGUAUUAAGGUAUGCAAUUUUACAAUUGUCUAUAAGACCUAACUUCGUGCAAGUAUUACCAA
Long non-coding RNA from Daphnia pulex (common water flea), 863 nucleotides. RefSeq lists it as uncharacterized. The record is from RefSeq and is a predicted model, not a curated record. The transcript is spliced from 4 exons. NCBI's taxonomy places the organism in Eukaryota, Metazoa, Arthropoda, Branchiopoda, Diplostraca, Daphniidae.